UGGGGAAUAUUGCACAAUGGAGGGAACUCUGAUGCAGCGACGUCGCGUGAGUGAUGAAGGAAUUCGUUUCGUAAAACUCUGUUCUAUGGGAAGAAAAGGACUGUACCAUAGGAGAAAGCUCCGGCUAAAUACGUGCCAGCAGCCGCGGUAAUACGUAUGGAGCGAGCGUUGUCCGGAAUUAUUGGGCGUAAAGGGUGCGCAGGCGGCUUUACAAGUUGGAUGUGAAAUAUUGUGGCUCAACCACAAACGUGCAUCCAAAACUGCAAAGCUUGAGUUAAGGAGAGGUAAGUGGAAUUCCUGGUGUAGCGGUAGAAUGCGUAGAUAUCAGGAGAAAUACCGGUGGCGAGGGCGACUUACUGGACUUAAACUGACGCUCAGGCACGAAAGCGUGGGGAGCAAACAGG
This 404-nucleotide ribosomal RNA is filed under the name Fusobacteriota bacterium. RNAcentral's name for it is "Fusobacteria bacterium partial 16S ribosomal RNA". It matches the Rfam family "Bacterial small subunit ribosomal RNA", at positions 355 to 776 of the family's 1533-position model. The record is from RNAcentral. Lineage: Bacteria; Fusobacteriati; Fusobacteriota.